This 252-nucleotide ribosomal RNA is filed under the name uncultured bacterium. RNAcentral describes it as "partial 16S ribosomal RNA". It matches the Rfam family "Bacterial small subunit ribosomal RNA", at positions 527 to 779 of the family's 1533-position model. The record is from RNAcentral.
CGAAGGUGCAAGCGUUAAUCGGAAUUACUGGGCGUAAAGCGCGCGUAGGUGGUUCGUUAAGUUGGAUGUGAAAGCCCGGGCUCAACCUGGGAACUGCAUCCAAAACUGGCGAGCUAGAGUACGGUAGAGGGUGGUGGAAUUUCCUGUGUAGCGGUGAAAUGCGUAGAUAUAGGAAGGAACACCAGUGGCGAAGGCGACCACCUGGACUGAUACUGACACUGAGGUGCGAAAGCGUGGGGAGCAAACAGGAUU